UACAGAGGGUGCGAGCGUUGUCCGGAAUCACUGGGCGUAAAGGGCGCGUAGGCGGUGACUUAAGCGUGUGGUGAAAGCUCGGGGCUCAACCCUGAGUCGGCCAUGCGAACUGGGUCACUUGAGCAUGUCAGAGGCAGGCGGAAUUCCACGUGUAGCGGUGAAAUGCGUAGAGAUGUGGAGGAACACCGAUGGCGAAGGCAGCCUCCUGGGCCAACACUGACGCUCAUGCACGAAAGCGUGGGGAGCAAACAGG
This 253-nucleotide ribosomal RNA is filed under the name uncultured bacterium. Its description in RNAcentral is "partial 16S ribosomal RNA". It matches the Rfam family "Bacterial small subunit ribosomal RNA", at positions 524 to 776 of the family's 1533-position model. The record is from RNAcentral.